CCAAUUUGUUGACAGAGAUUACAACAAUGAAUAAAUUGGUGCACAUCAAAAAACAUUGUGGGCCAUCAAUAUCCGGCCAUUAAAGCCUUGCAAGUAGUACUAUCUCCCGCAAAAUGACCACUACAAGUAUCCAAAUUGCAACCUUUGAGGAUCGACUAUACUUCACUUACAAAGAUAUAGUGGCAUAAAAUACCAUCUUUGCCUUUUUUAUACAAAGUAUCGCGAAUCAUUGUAUGUGGGGCACUCUUCAGAAUGAGUCGCUUCUUAAGUUUCUAGAUAAAAGUCGA
RNAcentral lists this long non-coding RNA (287 nucleotides) under Physcomitrium patens. RNAcentral describes it as "long non-coding RNA (PPAT_LNC008068)". Lineage: Eukaryota; Viridiplantae; Streptophyta; Bryopsida; Funariales; Funariaceae. The record is from RNAcentral.